Molecule: transfer RNA, 72 nt
Filed under: Methanobacterium sp. Maddingley MBC34
Lineage: Archaea; Methanobacteriati; Methanobacteriota; Methanobacteria; Methanobacteriales; Methanobacteriaceae
Description: tRNA-Glu
Rfam family: tRNA
About the family: Transfer RNA (tRNA) molecules are approximately 80 nucleotides in length. Their secondary structure includes four short double-helical elements and three loops (D, anti-codon, and T loops). Further hydrogen bonds mediate the characteristic L-shaped molecular structure. tRNAs have two regions of fundamental functional importance: the anti-codon, which is responsible for specific mRNA codon recognition, and the 3' end, to which the tRNAs corresponding amino acid is attached (by aminoacyl-tRNA synthetases). tRNAs cope with the degeneracy of the genetic code in two manners: having more than one tRNA (with a specific anti-codon) for a particular amino acid; and 'wobble' base-pairing, i.e. permitting non-standard base-pairing at the 3rd anti-codon position.
Source: RNAcentral
GCUCCGUUGAGGUAGUAGGCAAUCCUAUCUGACUCUCCAUCCGAUUACAGGGUUCGAAUCCCCUACGGAGCA